RNAcentral lists this ribosomal RNA (444 nucleotides) under Shigella flexneri. RNAcentral describes it as "partial 23S ribosomal RNA". It matches the Rfam family "Bacterial large subunit ribosomal RNA", at positions 2486 to 2925 of the family's 2925-position model. The record is from RNAcentral. Lineage: Bacteria; Pseudomonadati; Pseudomonadota; Gammaproteobacteria; Enterobacterales; Enterobacteriaceae.
UACCGCCCAAGAGUUCAUAUCGACGGCGGUGUUUGGCACCUCGAUGUCGGCUCAUCACAUCCUGGGGCUGAAGUAGGUCCCAAGGGUAUGGCUGUUCGCCAUUUAAAGUGGUACGCGAGCUGGGUUUAGAACGUCGUGAGACAGUUCGGUCCCUAUCUGCCGUGGGCGCUGGAGAACUGAGGGGGGCUGCUCCUAGUACGAGAGGACCGGAGUGGACGCAUCACUGGUGUUCGGGUUGUCAUGCCAAUGGCACUGCCCGGUAGCUAAAUGCGGAAGAGAUAAGUGCUGAAAGCAUCUAAGCACGAAACUUGCCCCGAGAUGAGUUCUCCCUGACCCUUUAAGGUCCUGAAGGAACGUUGAAGACGACGACGUUGAUAGGCCGGGUGUGUAAGCGCAGCGAUGCGUUGAGCUAACCGGUACUAAUGAACCGUGAGGCUUAACCUU